Molecule: ribosomal RNA, 254 nt
Filed under: uncultured bacterium
Lineage: Bacteria
Description: partial 16S ribosomal RNA
Rfam family: Bacterial small subunit ribosomal RNA
Source: RNAcentral
UACGUAGGGAGCAAGCGUUGUUCGGAUUUACUGGGCGUAAAGGGCGCGUAGGCGGCAAAUUAAGUCAGCUGUGAAAUCUCCGAGCUUAACUCGGAACGGUCAGCUGAUACUGAUCUGCUAGAGUGCGGAAGGGGCAAUCGGAAUUCUUGGUGUAGCGGUGAAAUGCGUAGAUAUCAAGAGGAACACCUGAGGUGAAGACGGGUUGCUGGGCCGACACUGACGCUGAGUGCGCGAAAGCGUGGGUAGCAAACGGG